Molecule: ribosomal RNA, 2805 nt
Filed under: Triticum aestivum (bread wheat)
Lineage: Eukaryota; Viridiplantae; Streptophyta; Magnoliopsida; Poales; Poaceae
Description: partial small subunit ribosomal RNA
Source: RNAcentral
AUGGGCGCCGGCAGGCUGCUGGUCCUGUGCCUGGCGCUCUGCGUGGCGGCGGCGGCGGCGCAGCGGCCGAAUCGGCGGCCGAGGGCGGUGUCCGUGGGCGCGCUCUUCACGUACGAAUCCACCAUUGGCCGCGCGGCGCGGCUCGCCAUCGAGCUCGCCGUCGACGACGUCAACGCGGACCGCACCGUGCUCGCCGGAACCACCCUGAAUUUGAUCAGCCAGGACACCAACUGCAGCGGGUUUCUUGGAACCAUCGAAGCACUGCAGCUCAUGGAGAAAAACGUGGUUGCUGUCAUUGGCCCUCAAUCCUCUGGAAUAGGCCAUGUCAUCUCACAUGUUGUUAAUGAGCUACAUGUUCCACUUCUAUCGUUUGCAGCAACUGAUCCAACCCUAUCUGCAUCAGAGUAUCCUUACUUUUUAAGGAGUACCAUAAGUGACUACUUCCAAAUGCAUGCUGUCGCUAGCAUUAUUGAUUACUUUCAGUGGAAAGAGGUGACUGCUAUAUUUGUGGAUGAUGAUUAUGGCCGAGGCGGGGUGUCAGUCCUCGGUGAUGCACUUGGAGCAAAGCGGGCAAGAAUUUCACAUAAAGCAGCCAUUCCUCCAAACUCAGACACGGAUUUGAUCAAUGAUGUACUGUUUAGAGCAAACAUGAUGGAAUCAAGGGUGUUUGUUGUGCAUGUCAAUCCUGAUGCAGGGAUGAGAAUAUUUGCUAUAGCGAACAAACUCCAGAUGAUGGGCACUGGCUAUGUCUGGAUAGUAACAGAUUGGUUAGCUGCUGUCCUGGACUCCUCAGGGCCUGGAGAUCCUAAAGCCAUGAGUUAUAUACAAGGAUUAAUUGUUCUUCGCCAGCACACUCCUGAUUCUGAUGCCAAGAGGAAGUUCGUAGCUAAAUGGAAUAAUGCAGCUAAUAAUAGGAGCAUUGCUUCUGGCAUGAAUUCGUACGGUUUUUAUGCUUAUGACUCGGUUUGGGUUGUUGCCCGUGCUAUCAAUGAAUAUCUCAAUAGUGGGCAGCAAAUUACUUUCUCUGCAGAUCCAAGGUUGCACAAUUCAAAUGGAAGCAGUUUGCGUCUAUCAAAGCUUAAAAUAUUUGAUGGUGGUGAUCAGUUGCUACAGCAACUUUUGCUCACAAACAUGACAGGGCUAACAGGUCUGGUUCAGUUUAAUGCAGACCGCAAUUUGGUGCGCCCAGCUUAUGAUAUCCUUAAUGUUGGUGGUACUGGGUCCCGUUUGAUUGGCUAUUGGAGUAAUUACUCUGGUCUUUCUGUUUCUGCUCCCGAAAUUUUGUAUCGGAAGCCACCGAAUACGUCAACAAGUGCCCAACAGUUGCAUAGUGUGGUGUGGCCAGGCGACACAACUACUAAGCCGAGAGGGUGGGUUUUCCCUAACAAUGGCCAGCCUCUGAGAGUUGGUGUUCCAAAUAAACCAAGUUUUAGGGAGUUGGUUUCAGUUGGCAAGGGCCCUGAUAAUGUGACGGGUUACAGUGUUGAUAUAUUCAACGCAGCAAUUAAACUUCUUCCGUACCCAGUUCCUUGCCAGUUCAUAACAAUUGGGGAUGGUUCAAAGAAUCCUAACUAUGACGACAUUAUUAGUAGGAUUGCCACCAAUGCCCUUGAUGCAGCUGUAGGUGACUUUGCUAUUGUGAGAAAUAGAACGAAGAUUGCAGAAUUCACACAGCCUUAUAUCGAAGCAGGGCUUGUGAUAGUAGCGCCAGUGAGAAAAGCAAAUUCAAAUGCCUGGGCUUUCUUUAAACCUUUCACAUUGGAGAUGUGGUGUGUAACAGGCACUCUUUUCAUUUUUGUGGGAGUGGUUGUUUGGAUUCUUGAACAUCGGACUAAUGAGGAGUUUCGAGGCUCUCCACGACGACAAAUCCUGACAAUAUUUUGGUUCAGUUUCUCAACGAUGUUCUUUGCACACAGGGAGAACACCGUAAGUGCUCUUGGGCGUUUCGUGCUGAUAAUAUGGUUGUUUGUCGUGCUGAUCAUCAAUUCAAGUUACACUGCUAGCUUGACGUCGAUCCUCACAGUACAGCAGCUAGCAACUGGAAUAACUGGACUUGACAAUUUGGUUGCUAGCGCUUUACCUAUCGGAUACCCAGCUGGAAAAUUUGUCCGAAAUUACCUGAUUGACGAGCUGAAUAUUCCCGAAUCCCGGUUAGUACCACUGAGCACGGUUGAGGAGUACGCCAAUGCCCUUAAUCGUGGGCCGAAAGACGGCGGUGUUGCUGCAGUUGUUGACGAGAUGCCAUGCGUUGAGAUCUUCCUCUCAACCCACUGCAACUUCAGAAUAGUCGGUCAGGAGUUCACGAAGGAGGGAUGGGGAUUUGCAUUCCAGAGAGAUUCCCCCCUUGCUGCAGACCUAUCAACCGCCAUCCUUCAACUUUCAGAGAGUGGCCAGCUCCAGAGAAUUCACGACGAGUGGCUCACAGAUCCGACCUGCGGCGAUGAUGACAGUGGGUUGGGAGCAGUCAGGCUUGGCCUGGGAAGCUUCUGGGGCCUUUUCCUGCUGUGUGCUCUGAUAUGCGUCUUUGCUCUCAUGGUUUACUUCGCAAGGAUCUGCUGGCAGUAUAGCAGGUACUCCAGCUCCGAACCUCCCAGUGAGCCAAGCGACUCUGCUGCUGCCGUCACCGCUGCUACCAUUGCUCAAAUACGGCCAGAGAAGCCAAAGCCGACGCGCCUUGGCAGCUUCAAGGAACUGAUACAGUUUGCGGACACGAAGGAGGAGGAGAUCAAGAAGGUGAUGAAACGGAGAUUGAGCGAAAAAGAUACUCGGGCCACCGGAUCUGCGCACUCGGUCUCUUCAGCAUAG